Bos indicus x Bos taurus (hybrid cattle) is the source of this 1792-nucleotide long non-coding RNA. Lineage: Eukaryota; Metazoa; Chordata; Mammalia; Artiodactyla; Bovidae. The record is from Ensembl.
UGUCCCCUGCUUAGCCAGUGGCCCCUCCAGCCUGCUGGUCGAGGCUUAGAAUUCCGGAGGAUCCAGCUCCUCUGGGUCCUGCCGCUCGCGCCGCCCAGCCCCUGCAGCGCUCCUGGAGCAUGGAUGCUGCUGCUCUGUGAUUUGUCCUUCUUGCUUUCUUACCUCUUUUUCCCCAAGGCUGGAUUCCAGAAAAACUUCUCUGUGUGCAUGUGCUGCUAGCUCCUUGGCCCCUCAGCUAUGCUUUCCAAUCAACCCAGCUUAACCUAAAAGAGAGUAACCUCUGCGAGUAAUGGAUUCUUCCCCACGCCAAGCUGCUCUUGUUUUGCAGACAGAACUCCUCCUGCUGACAUAGUGCUUAGGGCAUGGGGGUCCAGUCGGGUGCAGAAUAGCACCUAGAAUGCCAGCCCUUGUGGCGUGGGCAUGCCUGCAACCCCAAGGGUCCCCAGCUGCUGUGUUCUGACCGUCUCUCCAAACCUGCUCCCCUCGGCCCACCUGAAGGAAGACCCCUCAUGCUGGGGGAAGGUGCACAGAGACCAGCUGACCUGGCAGUCCUCAGGCCCUUCCUGCUCCAGGCUCCGCUUUCCCUCGCCCCCCACACCUGGCACAGACACCCUCUGAGCCGCCCCACCGUCCAUCUUGGCCACUCACUCGCCCACCUGGGGAUCUGCCCGCCUGCAGAGCCCUCUGCGCAGCUCCUGUCGCCUUCCCGGCCUUCCUCAGGGCUGGCCCUCCCAGAAAGUGGCCUCCUGUUUCUGCUACAGUCCAUCCCGAGGAGCCCAGGCUUAGAUUGUUCAGUGAGAUGAGAGCUGAGCCUUCUGCGUGGCGCUGAGCACCCGAGGAACCAAGGCCACCGAAGAUGCUGACACUCAGGAGCUGAGGACUCCGCUGUCUCCCCUGCGCUGGGUGGGGGGUGGGCACCAGUGGGCAUCGGGGCUUGGGAAAGGGUCUCCUCCUCGGGGGGACAGACGGGGAUGGAGCACGGAUGAGCCAGGGUCUGCCGGCCGCUCCCAGCAGAGCCCACAUCCAGAUGAAGUCCCUGGAAAGUGCUGUCCUCCACGUCCCCGCUCCGCCAGGAGGCCUUUCACGCUGUCACCGCCGAUCUCUGCUCCCGUUCUCAGCUCCUAGGUUCUGCUCAGAUAAACUUCCGCUUUCCUUUCCAGAUGGUUAUCUGGCAUUUCUGACACAUAUGUGUCCAUUUUCCUGAGUCCUGUGGAAAGCUGCUGUUGUCAGGAGUGGAACAUGGACCCCAGGGCUCAGGGCCAGUUUGGUUCUGGGGCCUCCGCUAGGCAGCAGGUGUGGCCAGGGGCUCGUGGUCUCUGAGCCUGCUUCUCCGUUCGUGGCAGUGGAGGCUGCAGUAGCACCUUCCUUGUGGGCAGCUGGGAGUUCACGGAUCUUAGUUCCCUGACCAGAGAUCAAACCCAUGCCCCCUGCAGUGGUAGUGCGGAGUCCUAACCACCGGACUGCCCGAAACAUCCCCUCUUUGAGGGCUGUUGGGAGGAUAAAGAGGGCUGAGAGAAGAUGGGUGUUUGACAAGACUUUUUUUUGGUCAGCUGGAAGGUUAAAGUAGGUUGAUGGGAAAUUCGUCCCCACAAAUUUGUUCCCACAGGUGGGGCGUUGCUGUUGUUCAGUCGCUCAGUCGUGUCCGACUGCGACCCCAUGGACAGCAGCUCGCCAGGCUUCCCUGUCCAUCACCAGCUCCCAGAGCUUGCUCAAACUCCUGUCCAUUGAAUCGGUGAUGCGACCCAACCAUCUCAUCCUGUCAUCCCCUUCUCCUCCCACCUUCAAUCUUUCC